UACUAUUUUCAAUUAGUCAGUAACGUUACAACCUCAUUUUCAGAUACGUUGAUUUGUUUUUUUAAUAAAAAAUGACAACCUACGUUUUUAUUGGUACAAAGUGCUAUAAGGAAGUGCUACAUAUCCAGAUGUAGUGUAAUGUAAUGUAAUACAUAUCCAGAUGUAGUGUAAUGUAAUGUAAUACAUAUCCAGAUGUAGUGUAAUGUAAUGUAAUACAUAUCCAGAUGUAGUGUAAUGUAAUACAUAUCCAGAUGUAGUGUAAUGUAAUGUAAUACACAUCCAGGUGUAAUGUAAUACAUAUCCAGAUGUAGUGUAAUGUGAUGUAAUACACAUCCAGAUGUAAUGUAAUGUAAUACAUAUCCAGAUGUAGUGUAAUGUAAUACAUAUCCAGAUGUAAUGUAAUGUAAUACACAUCCAGAUGUAAUGUAAUGUAAUACACAUCCAGAUGUAGUGUAAUGUAAUGUAAUACAUAUCCAGAUGUAAUGUAAUGUAAUACAUAUCCAGAUGUAAUGUAAUGUAAUACAUAUCCAGAUGUAGUGUAAUGUAAUGUAAUACAUAUCCAGAUGUAAUGUAAUGUAAUACAUAUCCAGAUGUAGUGUAAUGUAAUGUAAUACAUAUCCAGAUGUAAUGUAAUGUAAUACACAUCCAGGUGUAAUGUAAUGUAAUACAUAUCCAGGUGUAGUGGGUAGAGGUGUGUUUUUAGCUGUAAAGGCCUUCUG
Long non-coding RNA from Gasterosteus aculeatus aculeatus (three-spined stickleback), 719 nucleotides. The record is from Ensembl. NCBI's taxonomy places the organism in Eukaryota, Metazoa, Chordata, Actinopteri, Perciformes, Gasterosteidae.